RNAcentral lists this long non-coding RNA (731 nucleotides) under Homo sapiens (human). Its description in RNAcentral is "HSALNT0303160". The record is from RNAcentral. Lineage: Eukaryota; Metazoa; Chordata; Mammalia; Primates; Hominidae.
AAUCUUACUUCUACUAGCAACUACGGCUCUCGGGGAGGCUGCUCAGACCGCCGAGUCCACAGCAGCUACAACCGUGGUGUUCUUGAUUUUAUUCUGCAGAGUGAGCUCUCCACGUUUGCUUUCUGGAGGACCCAGGUGACCGCUCACCUCCCCUUCCUCCUGGAGCCCUGAAGUCGGAGGCCCUGAGCCAUGGACGGUAUCUGAGGAUCGGUUUAGCGUAUCUGGCCGGAGAAAUUGGCAACAUUUGCUACGAAUAAAACCCAAGCGUUUCCAGCAGCCAUUUUGAAUUAAGUUUCCCACCCGACAAGCCCUCGUCCCCUCCACUGCACAUCCAGGAUCCGGUGGAGGAGAAAGGCGCCGGGCGGAGAGUUGGGGAGGGCUGGUUCCUGCGGGUUCCUCCUAGGCGGCCGCGCGAAGCCCAGGCUCGGGGGAUCUCGGUGGCAGGCGCUCAGCUAACUUGGGGAAAGGACGUCCAUGGCCGUGGGGCCGACUGUCAACGGGCUGCACCUAGGGAUCCCAACCCCAAGGCCCUCGGAGAGCCGGGAGGCUCCUCCUCAGCUCCACGCACAUUCCCCUCCCUUCGCUGAUAGCCCCCACCGCCCCCCAAAGAAAGUUCCUUCAAAUGUUCCUGCAGUAGAGCCUUUCAUUUUGUCUCUGCGAAGUGGCAAAGCAGCUAGUAUUGCGAGGGGCCUAGAUGUCGCUUGUCUCAGCCCAUAAAAAAGAAAAAAAAA